GCCUACGGGGCGCAGCAGUGAGGAAUAUUGGUCAAUGGCCGUAAGGCUGAACCAGCCAAGUAGCGUGAGGGAAGACUGCCCUAUGGGUUGUAAACCUCUUUAGGCGGGGAGCAAUGCCGGGCACGCGUGUCCGGAGGGAGAGUACCCGCAGAAUAAGCAUCGGCUAACUCCGUGCCAGCAGCCGCGGUAAUACGGAGGAUGCGAGCGUUAUCCGGAUUUAUUGGGUUUAAAGGGUGCGUAGGCGGUCCGGAAAGUCAGCGGUAAAAGCCCGGGGCUCAACCCCGGCGAGCCGUUGAAACUGUCGG
Molecule: ribosomal RNA, 305 nt
Filed under: uncultured bacterium
Lineage: Bacteria
Description: bacterial SSU rRNA
Rfam family: Bacterial small subunit ribosomal RNA
Source: RNAcentral